UGGGCCGGUGUUUCGGUUUAACUGGUUUUUAAGUUAACUGGUGAUAGAGGCAGAUGUGGUGUAGGUGUGCCAUGAGAAACUCCGCAGAAAUGAUUACGUAGGUAGCUGCAGUGAUGCCUGUUUGAAAUACUGCAAACGUCAAUAAAUCGUCAAAAUGUUCAUGCUGUCAUUAUUUGUGUCAUAAUUGUGUUUAAAGUGUUGGUAAUGACGUUUAUUUAAACCUUCUGAAGUGUUUGCUGACUCUGCAGAUGGAACACAAAUAAAGACCGCUGAAAUAAGCAGAACAGCGCUCAGUGCGCUCCGAUUAACUUGUGUCACAACAAGUACUAGCAUCGGUCAUAGGCUCAUAUCGAUUCAUUUACACUUACAAAUACCUAAUAUUUAACAUGGGCAACACAACAGCUGUGUUGUAGAAAAUAAAACCAAAGUUUCCACACGUCAACAUGGUGCACAAAUUCAAACUCAAUAUGCAAUGUAAGAUCUAGGUCGUGUUAAAGGAAAUACAUUGACUCAAUGCUAAACGUCAUUACCAUUACUUUAAACACAAUUAUGACACAAAUAAUGACAGCAUGAACAUUUUGUCGAUUUAUUGACGUUUGCAGUAUUUCAAACAGGCAUCACUGCAGCUACCUACGUUGUGGUCUUCGUUCUUGCAACGGCAUCACAAGUUAAUUUAAUAACAGUAGGCCUACUACAACAUGGAUUACGUGUUUGAUAUCUGUUACAUUUCAAUACAGCCUAUAGGACAGCUAGGUGAGAAAGGGGAGACAGAGGGAAGACAUGCAGGACACCGCCACAGGUUGGACCCUAACCCCGGACCUUUGUGUCGAGGCACAGACCUUCAAGCAGAUGCGAGCCCGCUCCACCCACCGAACCAACCCGGCCACGAAGAUCAAGACUUUCAAUUAGAAAUCCGAUUUUAUGCUUGCCCUCUAGUGUCACAAAGUGGAAGGCUUGAAAAGGUUGAUACAUCAGUGUCACCGCUAUCACACUGCGUGACCCUGUCUGUCUGAAUACUAUGUGAGCUUCAUGUUUGGUAACAGCUAUCAAUAUGUGUAUACAUAUGCUUUGGCUGAGUUACAACACACCAUGUAACACACAAUACCAUCUUUUCUGUAUAUAUAAGAUAAUUAUAAUAAAAUACUGAAGUCAUAAACACAAAAUUGGUAGACUCAGGCUGUCUGCGGGGCUGGCGU
This is a long non-coding RNA of Etheostoma spectabile (orangethroat darter), 1196 nucleotides long. RefSeq lists it as uncharacterized. The transcript is spliced from 2 exons. The record is from RefSeq and is a predicted model, not a curated record. Lineage: Eukaryota; Metazoa; Chordata; Actinopteri; Perciformes; Percidae.